Long non-coding RNA from Rhipicephalus microplus (southern cattle tick), 637 nucleotides. Lineage: Eukaryota; Metazoa; Arthropoda; Arachnida; Ixodida; Ixodidae. The record is from RefSeq and is a predicted model, not a curated record.
UCAGCACACCUCCUCAUAGCUUUUAAUCUUUCCAGUUCAAUGUCGAACUGUGUCAUUUUAGACGAGAAUGAUAAUUUACAUUUGGACGCUUGCAUAGCUUCCACGAUGGUAUUUUCCAGGCUGCAGGCAAGGCCUUCUUGGCAAGCGUCUUCAACACGUGAUGACCAGUCAGUGCCAAUUACAACACCGGAAGAGAAAGUUUUGCCGAGUCCAUCGAUCUUCACGUAGGUCAAUGAAAAGAAAGCACAGCACCGUUUCAAUCUACAGCUUGAAUGCAAAGAGCAGAAUAAUGAGGAUGAUAGUGGAUGCUGCCAUGACAAGGAUGCACAUCAUUUUAUGAUUCUUCUUCUGAUGUCAUAUAUUCCGCUUCUUUUAGGACUGAAUCCUCUUUGUAAGCCUCCAGGUUUUUGCUCUGUAGGAACUUUGAUGGCUGUGGAUGCACUGUAAAUUUCUUCCAGUAUGUUUAUGUAGGGUUCAUCGAAGCCCUGAUUUCGUAGUGCCUGAAUCACUACAGAUGUUUCGACUGAGUCAAACGCCUUCUUGUAUACUGUGAAGGCUAUGUAUAAAGGUUGGUUCUAUUCUGCGCAUUUCUCUGUCACCUGAUUGAUAGUAUGAAUAUAUAGCCUGUACGAAAUCC